GACGAACGCUGGCGGCGUGCUUAACACAUGCAAGUCGAACGGAAAGGCCCUGCUUGCAGGGUACUCGAGUGGCGAACGGGUGAGUAUCACGUGGGUGAUCUGCCCUGCACUUCGGGAUAAGCCUGGGAAACUGGGUCUAAUACCGGAUAGGAGCCAUUUUUAGUGUGAUGGUUGGAAAGUUUUUUCGGUGUAGGAUGAGCUCGCGGCCUAUCAGCUUGUUGGUGGGGUAAUGGCCUACCAAGGCGGCGACGGGUAGCCGGCCUGAGAGGGUGGACGGCCACAUUGGGACUGAGAUACGGCCCAGACUCCUACGGGAGGCAGCAGUGGGGAAUAUUGCACAAUGGGCGCAAGCCUGAUGCAGCGACGCCGCGUGGGGGAUGACGGCCUUCGGGUUGUAAACUCCUUUCGCUAGGGACGAAGCUUUUUGUGACGGUACCUAGAUAAGAAGCACCGGCUAACUACGUG
RNAcentral lists this ribosomal RNA (465 nucleotides) under uncultured bacterium. RNAcentral describes it as "partial 16S ribosomal RNA". It matches the Rfam family "Bacterial small subunit ribosomal RNA", at positions 28 to 507 of the family's 1533-position model. The record is from RNAcentral.